CCCUUAGAUGUUCUGGGCCGCACGCGCGCUACACUGAUUCAUGCAGCAAGUUUUGUCCUUGGCUGAUAGGCCUGGGUAAUCUUUGAACGUGAAUCGUGAUGGGGAUAGAUGAUUGCAAUUAUUCAUCUUCAACGAGGAAUUCCUAGUAAACGCAAGUCAUCAGCUUGCAUUGAUUACGUCCCUGCCCUUUGUACACACCGCCCGUCGCACCUACCGAUUGAAUGGUCCGGUGAAAUCUUCGGAUCUGAGAGAUGUCUGAUUAAUUUCGGACGCCUUUUGGAAAAGUUGCUUAAACCUUACCAUUUAGAGGAAGGUGAAGUCGUANCA
Molecule: ribosomal RNA, 327 nt
Filed under: uncultured eukaryote
Lineage: Eukaryota
Description: partial 18S ribosomal RNA
Rfam family: Eukaryotic small subunit ribosomal RNA
Source: RNAcentral